Molecule: long non-coding RNA, 5225 nt
Organism: Serinus canaria (Common canary)
Lineage: Eukaryota; Metazoa; Chordata; Aves; Passeriformes; Fringillidae
Exons: 2
Source: RefSeq, a predicted model, not a curated record
UGCAAACCCGCAGCCCUAGGCUCAGUUAAGGGCAGCAGGUUGUGUCUCAGGAGCAGUUAGUGUCCCUGCCUCUAGCAGGCCCCACGUGGAGUGUUCUUGGGUGUCUGUGGUUGAGAUGACCCCAAGGUAUCAGAAAGUCUCUUUUUUCCCAGCCCCAGACCAAAGAAGUAGUCGAGAUUUGUCGGUUCUGCUUUUCAAGGUUGUUUAUUUUCUCUUAUCUAUCACAUUCUUUCUCUGACCUGCUGAGAUCUGUCCAGCAGGUCAGGCUGUGGCACAGUCCCUGCCCUUGGGGUGCUGUUGGCUUUUUAUACUAAGAACUAGGUGUACUUUAUUUACAAUAAUUUUCCAAUACCUGUCACCUAUGUCAGACAGUCUGUCUCUACUCUAAACCAAUCCAAGAGUGCCACCAUCACAGCAGAAGAUGGAGGACAAGAAGAAGAAGGACAGGACAUGCCCUGAUUCCUCCAUCUUGCCUCUUGAACCCCCAUUCUAAAUCCCCAAAAUUCUACAUUUUCACCCUGUGACAAGUUCACCAUCAUUCUGCUCAAACCCUUGUGGCUUGUAACUCCUCACACAAAGUUGGGAAUUGUUUCCAUGGGCUAAAAUCAAAGGCACAGGUGUCUUUGACUCUGUGCCAAGGUCUCUGAGCCGCUGCCAGGGUCUGGAGUCACCCAGGGCAGCCAGAGCAAUGUCCUGGGUCCCGACAGAGUGUGCUGAGCUGGCACAUGGAAGGAGAGCAGGACUUCCCUGGGGUCUCCUGCCAGCGCCCCUGUUCCCAGGUCACCAGUUUGUUCACAAGAUGGUGAGUUGGCAGUGUGUCACAAUCUGCCUGUGGUGGCAACAGGCAGCUGGGGAAAGCCCAGAGCCCCCCAGUUCUGCUGGCCUGACCCUGCAGUCCCUCACCUCUGCCACCUGAGCCAUCACUCUUGUUCUGUGCAAACCAAAGCAAUUUUCUGGAAGCAUAAACAACAUCUAAGGCUGGCUUGUGGCAGAAGGGAGCAGCCCUGGCUUAGGUGUCUCCUCUCAGAUCCCAGUCCCAAAAGCCAGGCAGUGCCUGUUCCCUUGCAUCUUUUUCAGAAGAUGACACAGCCCUUCUCACAGGACACCAGGCCAGCUCCUCUUUUGGAGCCUAGGCACACCAGACUCAGCAGUGCCACUUCCUCUCCUGUGGUGGGAUCUGUUUUUAAAGCUCACAUCAUGCAGUGUCUCUCAGGGAAGCCAUGGGCACAGAGCCCUCUCCCCUUCCGCUCUGCUCCACACCCAGCCAGGGCAGCCUUGUCUCAUCCUCUGAGCCAAAACACCACAAACACUGAAAGCCACUCCUCUUCCAUUUCCUCCACUCAAACCCCAUGGAAGAGCAAAGAGGCUGAAGUGUUUCUGGGGAGCCUGGGGCUUAUCCAGGAGUGAUUGGGAAUAUGCCAGGCUCUGGCUUCUGCCUCACCCCAGUGUCUCCAGCCAGUCCAGGUUCCCUUCCCACCACACGGUCACUGGCACUGAGAACCCAAAAAGUAACAGAAGUGUUGGAACACUUUUGCUUUUGCCAGAACAAAAUCCACAGGUCACCCAGAGCUUCACCUGGAGCAGAACAAGGGCUCAGACAGAGAAUGAUGCUCUGUGAGAAGGAAAAAACCACUUGAAGGUAGCACUGGCAUCAGUUUGGAGGUGUUAAUUUGGCUUCUCAUGACCCAGGCUGGACACUCCAGCAUCCCAACAAUUACAAAGCUGGAGGUUUUGUCUUACAGACACUCAGCAAUUGCUUCAUCCCACUACCACAGCAGUCACCUCUACAGCACAUUCCCUGUGAACUUUUAGCUUGGAAGAGGCAGCAAAACCAUCCCUAGACAUCCUUAUUUUCUCUAUUUGUCACAAUUAAAAAAAAAACCAAAAAGCCAUCCCAAUUUGUUUCUGCAGCUGGCAUCCUUACCCCUGCAGGAAUUAAAUUUGGUGGUGGGGUCAAGGCAGCACUGGCUGUUUUUUCCAAGCUGGUAACACCAGAGCCCAAACCAUGCCAAAACUGCACUUUGUGCAUGGCUUCUCUACAUCCAGGAAUACAGACAUGCAAUACUCAAGCACUGUUUCAUAGAUUUUAGUUUAAAAAUGAUCACAGUAAAAAAAGACAAAAAAUUAGGAUUUUUAUUUGUAAGACAAAGCACAGUAUUGCAAUAUUCAAAGAGUGAUUAUACAGAAAUAAAGGCCACAAGAAGGUGAUUCAUAGUGGACAGAGCCACAUCAACAAUCCCCUGCCCUUUUUAUUGUUUUAAACCCAAAAUCCAAGAUAUUUCUACAAGCAUUCGGAUCAGUGUCACAUAAGUUACCUGAAUUUAUGUUAUUUUAUUCUAUGCUGUCAGAAAAUCAAGGAUUACACAGUAAUUAUGAAUACAAAAUAUAUCUCAAAAGCAGAGGUAAUAAUACCUGUAUUAUAGAGCUUUUAGUUUGUUUUUCUCUCUCCUCACCACCAGAGACAUGAAAGUAAAGAAGAAAGUAAAGAAAAAAGUUACCUCCUCCACCAAUCUGGUAGGAACACACAGGUGGAAAACUCAAGAUUAACACCCCAAAAAUAUUAACAGUGGCAGACAGACAUGAUACCUUAUUUUCCCUCCUCCCUUAUCUGUUGGGUUUCAAAAGCAGCAUCAGAAAACACAUUCAGCUUCAGGCUGCCAUGAGCCAGGGAGACAAACACAGCCUGACAAACAGGGAGCAGCACACAGCUCAGGGUAUUAUCCAAAGGUCACCUUUGUGCUGAUGCAGGGAAAAUGAGUUGGAGCUUCCCAGCAGCUUCUCCUAGUGAGGGAUCUGCACAGGGUUCUGGUGGCUCCAGCAGCACCAUGCAGGCAGCCAUGGCAGCUCCCAGCUGGCUGCAGAGCUCACUCUGCACGGGGAGGGGGGGGGGGGGCUGCUUUGGGGCUCCUUCAGCACCCAGGCAUCAUCUCUGCCCUUCCACCCACACCCAGCUGGGUGUAAAGCAGAGCUUGACCUACUCUAGCAGGGCAAGAAGUCUCACAGCACCAAUAUCAAAGCUUCUCUGCACCCUCCCCACCCUGGCACAGGGUGCCCAGAGCAGCUGUGGCUGCUCCGUCCUUGGCAGUGUCCAAGGCCAGGCUGGAUGGGGCUUGGAGCCUCCUGGGACAGAGGAAGGUGUCCCUGCCCUUGGCAGGGGUGGGAUGGUUUUUAAGGUCCCAUCUAACCUGAACCAUCCCAGAAUUCCCUGACAAAUGCCCUGAACAGGGCCAGUUCUCUGGUUAUUGCACAGACACAGGGAUGGUGGCCAGGACAAAUGCACUGUCCCAUUACAGACACAGGGUCACACCCCCCAGCAGCCCCAGCCUCCUCGAGCCCUCCUCUGCAGCACUGAAUGGCCAAACACAGGUUCAAACACCCUCUCCUUCACUGCCAGCAUCAAACACAGCCCAGAAAAGCUUCCCUAACCCAAAUGUCAGGCAGCUGUCUCAUUUUCACCUUUGUUCAAUAAUGCAAUUGUCCCGGAAAGGGUUCUCCAGCCAUCCCCAGAGCCAGCCCAGCACACAAGCUGUCCUCCAAAGGGAAGGGAAGCACAGUGGGUAUGCCAGGGCAGCAGGCAGCAGCAGUAAAUAACCCUGAGCCUGCUUUGUUCCUUCAUAAAAUAAAUGAUUAAUAGCCCAGGAUAGUCAGUCUGCUUGAAAAGCUCAGGAUUGCUGAAAACUUUUGAUCAGUUUGAUUCAUUAACCUUUAAAACUGCCUCUAAGAAAGGCUUAAAAUCUGAGGGAGAAGCAUAAUUUUAAACACUUCAAUUUUAUCCAGUGUUCCCUGCUUUUGACAAACUGAGCAAAGACACUCUGCUGCUCUUUAGAGACACUCAGCAUCAGUCAGGUGUCAAGGAAAAAAAAAAAACAAGGGGGAAAAUAAAGUUGCUGUAGACAAACAAUCCCAUGUUCAUCUUAGAAUUCAAAACCAGUCAGGACUGGGGGAGAAAAUGACCCUUCUUUGUGAUCCUUAAGCACUUGGCCAUACGCAGGUGGCUUCCCAACUGUCCCUUUAUUUCUUUUGCUUUUAAUGCUAAUAAAAAAGGAACCCAAACAGGGCACUCCAUUCCCCACACAAUGCCCUGGGGGAGGGCAGGGAGUGUCACUUACAUAUCCCAAAAGUCUGACUCAGACAAAUUACUUCUAGUUCACUUCCCCACGACACGCCUGCAUUGUUCCAACACCUUGGCAGCAGAAGGGGCUCAUCCCCAGCUAUCUGCUCCCAGGAACAGCCAUGGGGGCUGAUGUCAUUAAGGAGCUGUCCCAAUUACUUCCCUGGGGAAAGCAGUGACUUGCAGCUUAACGUCCUGCCCCAGCCCAGCAGGAAAACCAACGGUCAGCAGAGCCCCAGGGGCUGUGCUCCCGGGAGGAGCUGGGAUCCAGGGAUGGCAGCUGCCCCCUGCAGCUCCACCAUGGCUUUCUUAGAAAGGGACAGAUUCCCAAGAGAAAAAGGGCAUUCUGAACCAAGGAGAAGUCAUGGUCACUGCUGCCAGGCUGAUUGAGACAUUGGGAUUUGGCUGGGAUUUAUUUUCUGGAGAGGACAGAGAGCAGUGUGAAAAGGUCAGGAAAGGCCACUUGUCCUCUCUGCUUCACCAGCAGCCACAGUGGUACAAAGCCCAGCAGAGGAAGGUUAUUCCACCUCUAAGGGAACCACAAACUACAAAUUUAACAGAUCAAAACCUUCUCAGAGACACCCAGCUCACAGCUUCUUUUGCUGCAAUAAUUACACAUGGUCAAGGAUUUGUGAGUUUAAUAGUUUUAGGGAGCAAUUCCCAAGCCACAGCUGUCAGCUUUCUGAAAUCCCAUCAAAGCUUGCAGGAAUUCAGCAAUUUUAGCAGAAUAUCAAUGAUCUUAGAUAGAACAAUAUGAGGCUUCUGACAGAAAAACUGGGAUGCUUCAAACAGCCAGCAGUGUUGGAAAGAAAAAUGUUUAUAAAGGAAUCAGACCUCACCUGUAGCUUCAGCAGUUUUUCUGUAUUGAAUCUUUAUGCUUCGCUAUGCAGAGAAAAAUAUUUAACCAAACGAAACAAACCAAACUCCUAAUUUUACAGCUUUCAUGGGGUCUGAUGGAUUCCAAUUCAAUUAUUCAGUCCAGAUUGUAACAGCAAUUAAUCAGAAGUUAGCAAUAAAAUUAGAAGUUGAAGGGAUCAUAGAGAAUUAUUAUGACAAAGAAGUAUCUUGGUUUUUGGGCACCAUGUACAUCAUGCAUUUGCAUGGACAAAGAAAA